CAGUCGCCACGGUAAUACAGAGGGUGCGAGCGUUAAUCGGAUUUACUGGGCGUAAAGCGUGCGUAGGCGGCUUCUUAAGUCGGAUGUGAAAUCCAUGAGCUUAACUUAGGAAUUGCAUUCGAUACUGGGAAGCUAGAGUAUGGGAGAGGAUGGUAGAAUUCCAGGUGUAGCGGUGAAAUGCGUAGAGAUCUGGAGGAAUACCGAUGGCGAAGGCAGCCAUCUGGCCUAAUACUGACGCUGAGGUACGAAAGCAUGGGGAGCAAACAGGAUUAGAUACCCCCGUAGUCCCUGUCUCUUAUAC
Molecule: ribosomal RNA, 301 nt
Filed under: uncultured bacterium
Lineage: Bacteria
Description: partial 16S ribosomal RNA
Rfam family: Bacterial small subunit ribosomal RNA
Source: RNAcentral